This 231-nucleotide unclassified non-coding RNA is filed under the name Mycolicibacterium smegmatis. The record is from RNAcentral. Lineage: Bacteria; Bacillati; Actinomycetota; Actinomycetes; Mycobacteriales; Mycobacteriaceae.
GAUCCUCGCUGCCACUAGAGAAUGCAGCGGCUUUUAGCCGCCGGAUUCUUGCGCGGCAAAGUCGGGCGUGUUGUUUGAGAACUCAAUAGUGUGUUUGGUGGUUUUUGUUUGUUGUUUUUUGUCCGCCUCUUUUUCCCGUUUAGGGGUGGAUGUUUUUGAUGCCAGUUUUGGUGUCUUUUUGUUAGGUCAGAUUUUCUCUGAUUGUGAAUUCACCUGUCUUUGGAUGGGUUG